This 312-nucleotide long non-coding RNA is filed under the name Vicia faba (fava bean). The record is from RNAcentral. Lineage: Eukaryota; Viridiplantae; Streptophyta; Magnoliopsida; Fabales; Fabaceae.
AUGUCUGGAAGAGGUAAGGGAGGAAAGGGUUUGGGAAAGGGUGGAGCAAAGCGUCAUCGCAAAGUUCUGAGAGAUAACAUUCAAGGAAUCACCAAACCUGCUAUUCGUCGUCUUGCAAGGCGUGGUGGUGUGAAGCGUAUAAGUGGACUGAUCUAUGAAGAGACUCGCGGUGUUCUCAAGAUCUUUCUCGAGAAUGUUAUUCGUGAUGCUGUCACUUACACCGAACAUGCUCGCCGUAAAACAGUGACCGCUAUGGAUGUUGUUUAUGCACUCAAGAGGCAAGGAAGGACCUUGUAUGGUUUUGGGGGUUAG